UACGGAGGAAAAGAAACCAACAGGGAUUGCCCUAGUAACGGCGAGUGAAGCGGCAACAGCUCAAAUUUGAAAUCUGGCGUCUUCGGCGUCCGAGUUGUAAUUUGCAGAGGGCGCUUUGGCAUUGGCAGCGGUCCAAGUUCCUUGGAACAGGACGUCACAGAGGGUGAGAAUCCCGUACGUGGUCGCUAGCCUCUACCGUGUAAAGCCCCUUCGACGAGUCGAGUUGUUUGGGAAUGCAGCUCUAAAUGGGAGGUAAAUUUCUUCUAAAGCUAAAUACUGGCCAGAGACCGAUAGCGCACAAGUAGAGUGAUCGAAAGAUGAAAAGCACUUUGGAAAGAGAGUUAAAAAGCACGUGAAAUUGUUGAAAGGGAAGCGCUUGCAGCCAGACUUGCCUGUAGUUGCUCAUCCGGGUUUCUACCCGGUGCACUCUUCUAUAGGCAGGCCAGCAUCAGUUUGGGCGGUUGGAUAAAGGUCUCUGUCAUGUACCUCCUCUCGGGGAGAACUUAUAGGGGAGACGACAUGCAACCAGCCUGGACUGAGGUCCGCGCAUCUGCUAGGAUGCUGGCGUAAUGGCUGUAAGCGGCCCGUC
This 589-nucleotide ribosomal RNA is filed under the name Stagonosporopsis sp. Its description in RNAcentral is "partial large subunit ribosomal RNA". It matches the Rfam family "Eukaryotic large subunit ribosomal RNA", at positions 49 to 653 of the family's 3401-position model. The record is from RNAcentral. Lineage: Eukaryota; Fungi; Ascomycota; Dothideomycetes; Pleosporales; Didymellaceae.